RNAcentral lists this ribosomal RNA (253 nucleotides) under uncultured bacterium. RNAcentral's name for it is "partial 16S ribosomal RNA". It matches the Rfam family "Bacterial small subunit ribosomal RNA", at positions 524 to 776 of the family's 1533-position model. The record is from RNAcentral.
UACGUAGGGGGCAAGCGUUGUCCGGAUUUAUUGGGCGUAAAGAGCGUGUAGGCGGCUUGGUAGGUCCGCUGUGAAAACUCGAGGCUCAACCUCGAGAUGUCGGCGGAAACCACUUGGCUAGAGUCCGGAAGAGGAGAGUGGAAUUCCCGGUGUAGCGGUGAAAUGCGCAGAUAUCGGGAAGAACACCUAUGGCGAAGGCAGCUCUCUGGGACGGUACUGACGCUGAGGUGCGAAAGCGUGGGGAGCAAACAGG